AAACAGUUGGUCUCCUGGUAGGGAGGGUGAGUCACAGACACCCGAGUCUCUCUCGCUUUGUCGUCAAGCCAGAGGGGAGGGGCCAGGCCGCCGCCCGGAGCAGGCCCAGCGGCUCGCCGGCGUGGUGGUCGCGUGACGCCAAUUGGAGAGGGGGCGGAGUGGAGCCGCCACCCACGCCCGCAAGGUGGGCAGACCUGCGACCCAGUGGUACACGGGCGUGGUAGGAGGGGCAGGGCAGAGCCGCCGCCCACGCCUGCAAGGUAAGCAGACCUGCGACAGACUGGCAGGUCAGGCCCAGCGGCCUGCCAGCGUGGUAUACACGUCACCCCAACUGGAGUAGGGGCAGAGCAGAGCCUUCGCCCGUGCCCGGAUCAGGCCCCGCCGGUGUGGUGGUCACGUGACCCCAAUUGGAGUGGGGGUGGAGUGGAACUGCCACCCGUGCCUGCAGGGUGGGCAGACCUGCGACCAACCUGCAGAUUAGGCCCAGUGUUCCGCGGGCGUGGUAGGAGGUGCAGGGCAGAGCCGCCGCCCGCACCUGCAAGGUAGGCAGACCUGCGACAGACCGGCGGAUCAGGCCCAGCGGCCUGCCGGUGUGGUACACACGUCACCCCAAUUGGAGUAGGGUCAGAGCAGAGUCGCCGCCCGUGCCAGGAACGGGCCCAGCGACCUGCCGGCGUGGUAGUCACGACACCCCAAUUGGAGUAGGGGCAGGGCAGAGCAGAGCCGCCACCCGUGCCCGAAAGGUGGGCAGACCUGCGACCGACCAGCGGGACAGGCCCAGUGGCCUGCCGGUGCGACAGACAUGUCACCCCAUUUGGAGUAGGGGCAGAGCAGAGCCGCCGCCCGUGCCCGCAAGGUAGGCAGACCUGCGACUGACCGGUGGAACAGGCCCAGCCGCCGGCCGGGGUGGUAGGCACGUCACCCCAAUUGGAGUAGGAGCAGAACAGAGCCUUCGCCCGCGCCCGGAACAGGCCCAGCGGUCCGCGGGUGUGGUAGACAAGUCACACCAAUUGGAGGGGGCGCAGAGCAGAGCCGCCGCCCGCACCUGCAGGGUAGGCAGACCUGCAACCGACCGGUGGAUCAGGCCCGGUGGCCUGCCGGCGUGGUACACUCGUCACCCCAAUUGGAGUAGGGGCAGAGCAGAUGACAUGAUUGUAUACCUAGCAGACCCAAAAGGGUCUACAAAGAAACUAUUAGAGCUAAUAAAUGAAUUCAGCAAAGUGGCAGGCUAUAAAAUCAACACGCAUAAAUCAAAG
This 1256-nucleotide long non-coding RNA is filed under the name Marmota monax (woodchuck). The record is from RNAcentral. Lineage: Eukaryota; Metazoa; Chordata; Mammalia; Rodentia; Sciuridae.